Molecule: long non-coding RNA, 665 nt
Organism: Ictalurus punctatus (channel catfish)
Lineage: Eukaryota; Metazoa; Chordata; Actinopteri; Siluriformes; Ictaluridae
Source: Ensembl
AGUAGUUAUGCCUACUCCUAAAGAAAAUUUGAGUAUUAGGGCCAUAAAUAAAGUGUUAAUACAAAAUGAUAUGAUAUUGUCACGAUUCCCCCUUGAAGCAGUGUGCUUUAAGCGCAAAUGCGCGAGCACCUGCUUUUCCGCUGUCGACCGUAGUGACAUUGGGACACGUGUGUUUUGUUUAUGUUUGUCAUGUCUCCUCCCUGUUCCGUCAUUGGCUGGGAAGUCACGUGUGUCCGGAUUACCCUCAGCUGUUAGCAGUUGCGAGGGUAAUCAUGUCCGCAUAUAUACCGCGCGCUUCCCAGCACACAACGCGGAAGAUUAAGUAAUAUGAAGUGGUGGUUGCAGUGAUUCAGUCAAUUGACAAGGAUGUGAAAUAUACACUGUGCCAAAAAGAGCUCAAAAGCCUGAAACCACACAACUGGUUAAUGGGAGAGACUAUUGAAUGCUACUUCCAAGCACUGUUGAAUUCGAAAGGUUAUGGAAGAAAUUGUUUUUAUUCAACUACUCUGCCAGUGUUGUUGUAUUUGGGGAGAGGUCUGCAUUGUCAAAUCACAGUUUCCAAAAGGUGAGACUUUAUAAUUGUUAUUCAAUGAAAAAGAAAAGGUCAGAAGGACAAGUGCAAUUGUGUUACAUAUUAACUCAUUUGCAGGCCAACUUUCAAGACU